AUGUUUUCAUUAAUCAGGAACGAAAGUUAGGGGAUCGAAGACGAUCAGAUACCGUCAUAGUCUUAACCAUAAACUAUGCCGACUAGGGAUCGGACGAUGUUACUUAUUGACUCGUUCGGCACCUUACGAGAAAUCAAAGUGCUUGGGCUCCAGGGGGAGUAUGGUCGCAAGGCUGAAACUUAAAGAGAUUGACGGAAGGGCACCACCAGGGGUGGAGCCUGCGGCUUAAUUUGACUCAACACGGGGAAACUCACCAGGUCCAGACACAAUGAGGAUUGACAGAUUGAGAGCUCUUUCUUGAUUUUGUGGGUGGUGGUGCAUGGCCGUUCUUAGUUGGUGGAGUGAUUUGUCUGCUUAAUUGCGAUAACGAACGAGACCUUAACCUGCUAAAUAGCCCGUAUUGCUUUGGCAGUACGCUGGCUUCUUAGAGGGACUAUCGGCUCAAGCCGAUGGAAGUUUGAGGCAAUAACAGGUCUGUGAUGCCCUUAGAUGUUCUGGGCCGCACGCGCGCUACACUGACGGAGCCAGCGAGUACUUCCUUGGCCGAAAGGCCCGGGUAAUCUUGUGAAACUCCGUCGUGC
Molecule: ribosomal RNA, 581 nt
Filed under: uncultured fungus
Lineage: Eukaryota; Fungi
Description: SSU rRNA
Rfam family: Eukaryotic small subunit ribosomal RNA
Source: RNAcentral